RNAcentral lists this ribosomal RNA (491 nucleotides) under uncultured bacterium. Its description in RNAcentral is "partial 16S ribosomal RNA". It matches the Rfam family "Bacterial small subunit ribosomal RNA", at positions 29 to 506 of the family's 1533-position model. The record is from RNAcentral.
AGUGAACGCUGGCGGUAGGCCUAACACAUGCAAGUCGAACGGCAGCACAGUAAGAGCUUGCUCUUACGGGUGGCGAGUGGCGGACGGGUGAGGAAUACAUCGGAAUCUACUUUUUCGUGGGGGAUAACGUAGGGAAACUUACGCUAAUACCGCAUACGACCUACGGGUGAAAGCAGGGGAUCUUCGGACCUUGCGCGAUUGAAUGAGCCGAUGUCGGAUUGGCUAGUUGGCGGGGUAAAGGCCCACCAAGGCGACGAUCCGUAGCUGGUCUGAGAGGAUGAUGAGCCACACUGGAAGUGAGACACGGUCCAGGCUCCUACGGGAGGCAGCAGUGGGGAAUGGUGGACAAUGGGCGCAAGCCUGAUCCAGCCAUACCGCGUGGGUGAAGAAGGCCUUCGGGUUGUAAAGCCCUUUUGUUGGGAAAGAAAGGCAGCAGGUUAAUACCCCGCUGUUCUGACGGUACCCAAAGAAUAAGCACCGGCUAACUUCGU